Molecule: ribosomal RNA, 254 nt
Filed under: uncultured bacterium
Lineage: Bacteria
Description: partial 16S ribosomal RNA
Rfam family: Bacterial small subunit ribosomal RNA
Source: RNAcentral
UACGUAGGGUGCAAGCGUUGUCCGGAAUUAUUGGGCGUAAAGAGCUCGUAGGCGGUUUGUCGCGUCGGCUGUGAAAGCCCGGAGCUCAACUCCGGGUCUGCAGUCGAUACGGGCAGACUUGAGUGUUGCAGGGGAGACUGGAAUUCCUGGUGUAGCGGUGAAAUGCGCAGAUAUCAGGAGGAACACCGGUGGCGAAGGCGGGUCCCUGGGCAACAACUGACGCUGAGAAGCGAAAGCAUGGGGAGCGAAACAGG